This 372-nucleotide ribosomal RNA is filed under the name uncultured beta proteobacterium. RNAcentral's name for it is "bacterial SSU rRNA". It matches the Rfam family "Bacterial small subunit ribosomal RNA", at positions 754 to 1123 of the family's 1533-position model. Lineage: Bacteria; Pseudomonadati; Pseudomonadota; Betaproteobacteria. The record is from RNAcentral.
CGAAAGCGUGGGGAGCAAACAGGAUUAGAUACCCUGGUAGUCCACGCCCUAAACGAUGUCAACUGGUUGUUGGGAAGGUUCCUUCUCAGUAACGUAGCUAACGCGUGAAGUUGACCGCCUGGGGUGUACGGCCGCAAGGUUGGAAACUCAAAGGAAUUGACGGGGACCCGCACAAGCGGUGGAUGAUGUGGUUUAAUUCGAUGCAACGCGAAAAACCUUACCUACCCUUGACAUGGCAGGAAUCUCGCAGAGAUGUGAGAGUGCUCGAAAGAGAACCUGCACACAGGUGCUGCAUGGCCGCCGUCAGCUCGUGUCGUGAGAUGUUGGGUUAAGUCCCGCAACGAGCGCAACCCUUGUCAUUAGUUGCUACGA